AAUGAAAGGCCAACCUAAAUCACCUGGUGGCAAUGAUAAACUCUUCUUGUCACCUAACUUUAAUAUUUCAUAGUACCAAACAUUUACAUUUCCAAGUAGCCAUUUCAACCCCAAAAUCACACACAAUAUGCUCACCAUCAAUCCAAUUAAGCCCAUUCUAAUAUAGCUUGGAGUAUUACUUAAGCUUAAUUAAUAUCUAAGAGAACUAUAAUGGAGUUUAUUUUUUUCUUUAUUCCUUUUCAAAGGUUGAGAAAGGAGGAGGAGGAGGAGGUGGUUGAGAGAAAAGAAAGAGUUAGUGUGAGAUGAGUUAGUUUUUCAUAGUACCAAACAUUUACACUUCCAAGUAGCCAUUUCAACCCCAAAAUCACACACAAUAUGCUCACCAUCAAUCCAACUAAGCCCAUUCUAAUAUAGCUUGGAGUAUUAAUUAGCUUAAUUUGAUAUCUAAGAGAACUAUAAUGGAGUUUACUUUUUCUUUAUUCCUUUUCAAAGGCUGAGAAAGUAGGAGGAAGAGGUGGUGGUGGUUGAGAGAAAUGAAAGAAUUAGUGUGAGAUUCAAA
RNAcentral lists this long non-coding RNA (559 nucleotides) under Nicotiana benthamiana. RNAcentral describes it as "long non-coding RNA (NBEN_LNC009885)". The record is from RNAcentral. Lineage: Eukaryota; Viridiplantae; Streptophyta; Magnoliopsida; Solanales; Solanaceae.